This 66-nucleotide small RNA is filed under the name Oryza sativa Japonica Group (Japanese rice). RNAcentral describes it as "sRNA Os03g0621201". Lineage: Eukaryota; Viridiplantae; Streptophyta; Magnoliopsida; Poales; Poaceae. The record is from RNAcentral.
GACUGUAGUAGUUGCAGAUGAAUCCUUAGGUCGCUGGUUCGAAUCCGGCAGGUCGGAUUAAUUUUU